Molecule: ribosomal RNA, 490 nt
Filed under: uncultured bacterium
Lineage: Bacteria
Description: partial 16S ribosomal RNA
Rfam family: Bacterial small subunit ribosomal RNA
Source: RNAcentral
AUUGAACGCUGGCGGCAGGCCUAACACAUGCAAGUCGAACGGUAACAGGAAGCAGCUUGCUGCUUUGCUGACGAGUGGCGGACGGGUGAGUAAUGUCUGGGAAACUGCCCGAUGGAGGGGGAUAACUACUGGAAACGGUAGCUAAUACCGCAUAACGUCGCAAGACCAAAGAGGGGGACCUUAGGGCCUCUUGCCAUCGGAUGUGCCCAGAUGGGAUUAGCUAGUAGGUGGGGUAACGGCUCACCUAGGCGACGAUCCCUAGCUGGUCUGAGAGGAUGACCAGCCACCCUGGAACUGGGACACGGUCCAGACUCCUACGGGAGGCAGCAGUGGGGAAUAUUGGACAAUGGGCGCAAGCCUGAUGCAGCCAUGCCGCGUGGGUGAAGGAGGCCUUCGGGUUGUAAAGUACUUUUCUCGGGGAGGAAGGGAAUUAAGUUAAUACCUUGGCUUAUUGACGGUACCCGCAGAAGAAGCACCGGCUAACUCCGUG